Long non-coding RNA from Pogonomyrmex barbatus (red harvester ant), 512 nucleotides. NCBI's taxonomy places the organism in Eukaryota, Metazoa, Arthropoda, Insecta, Hymenoptera, Formicidae. The record is from RefSeq and is a predicted model, not a curated record.
UCAAAAUGAUAUAUAAAGAACGAAAUUAAAUAAAUAUUCUUACACAAGAUCUACACUCAGCAAAAAUUCUCAAAAUGAAGAUUGCAUUCGCUCUCUUGUUUUUGGUUGCAAUUGCCAUCGCACUUCCCAUUGAAGAUGAAUCGGAAUCCCAGAUGGCAAAUGAGAACGAAUUCUUGAAUUUGAAACCUGUCGAACAACAUCAUCGCGAACGUAGAGCCACUUGUAGACUUCCAUGGGGUGCCCGUACCGCUUGCAAUGCUCAUUGCAAUGCUAAAAAAAUACAAAAGAGGAUACUGCAAUAGCAACAGAGUUUGCGUUUGCACCAAUAAGUAGAGGAUUGGUCCUGAUUCUAAUAACAUAAUAAUUUUCCUGAGAAGAAAUUAAAUUGGAAUUUUAAUCGACAUGUAUCACGUCUGACUUAUCCAUUUUAGAAUUUUAACGUUACAUAAAAUAUAUGUAUUGUAAAAUUAUUUGUAAUAAAUAUUUGUCCAAUUAAAAUAAGAUUAACGCAA